This 316-nucleotide ribosomal RNA is filed under the name uncultured Bacteroidales bacterium. RNAcentral describes it as "partial 16S ribosomal RNA". The record is from RNAcentral. Lineage: Bacteria; Pseudomonadati; Bacteroidota; Bacteroidia; Bacteroidales.
GGAGUCUGGUCCGUGUCUCAGUACCAGUGUGGGGGACCUUCCUCUCAGAACCCCUACGCAUCGUCGCCUUGGUGGGCCGUUGCCCCGCCAACAAGCUAAUGCGCCGCAUGCCCAUCCCUGGACGAAGUUCUAUCACGCCGAAGUCAUGCGGCCUCGGCGCAUACGGGGUAUUAGGCCGCGUUUCCGCGGGUUAUCCCCCAACCAGGGGCAGGUUGCAUACGUGUUACUCACCAGUGCGCCGGUCGCCAUCAGAAGUAUUGCUACCUCCAUGCUGCCCCUCGACUUGCAUGUGUUAAGCCUGUCGCUAGCGUUCAUC